CAGACACUACCAAUCACCUCCUAUAUUUUUUUAAAAAAUUUGUGGUCUGAAUAAUCAUGGAGUUAUCCAGAAGAAAAAUAUCAGAAAGUAGUGUCUGUAAAAAAGAACAACCGACAGAUAGAUCUCUCCAUCCAAAGCGAUGAUUCUGAAAAAACUCAAGAAAGAAAAACAAUAGGAUUGAGAAGUUAAAGGAUCAAAUUUUUCCAGAAAGAGAUCUUUCAAACAUGCAUUCUCUUCACAAUCGAUUCGUUCAAAGCAAGGUUUAACUACAGAUGAAGUUCACCUUUUCACAUAAUCCGACAAAAUAGAAGAGUUUCAUACUGCAAAGUCAGAGGAUGACUGAAGUCUCACACUAUAAAGAUAAGUGUUCUCUUAUAACAUAGAUUCUUUCUGUACUUUUGGAGCUUUUAGUAUAUUUUCUCUCUGAUUUUCUUAUAUUAUGCGUUUUCUAAUGAAUUUGUUUUAAAUGUUCUUCAUGGAAGUCCUGUAGUUGGAUAAAAUACAACAAAGUGGGAGCAAGUACGAAGUCUCAAACACUAAAGAUAAGUUUUCUCUUUUGUCUAUUGUCUUGAAGUUCUCGAUCAGUCACAUUAUUAACGAUUGCAGCAUAUAUUAAAUGUUACAAUACUAAUAUGGUAUUUUGUAUUAUAGUUCCCAGACGUUGUAUGGUGGAAUUCCAUAUUCUUUUCAAUCAUGAGCAACGGAAGAAGUGGUUAACAACAUAUACAGCACCAAAGCGUAUUCAGCAGAUCUUCUUAAACGCAGUUUUCUAAAGGGGAGUCCACAAAGAUCAAUACAAAUGAAAAAGAUUGUAAACUUCAGGAAUUACCAAGUUUUGUCAUCUAAAGAGUGAAAAAAUCGAAACUGACUGAAGGAAUUACCAUGAAAUAGGACCGAAGAUGUGUAUCCAUACACUUAGAAGAUUAGUGUUUUACUCAAGACAGUUUAAUACAGAGAUGGCAUGAAAGAUAAUAAAUCCAAAUCAUGAAGGAUAAACGUAUGUACCACUUUGGCUUGGAUCAACAAUGUCGUUUUCCAUGGCCUAAUAUCAUCAAGGUUCUUCUGUCUAUAUGUUCAUUGCUGACAGAUCCAAACCCUGAUGAUCCUUUGGUUCCAGAAAUAGCUCACACCUACAAGACAGACCGGUGUCAAGUACGAGAGCACUGCCCGAUCGUGGACCCAGAAGUAUGCAAUGGGACAAUGAUGAUUGUCAAUAAUAAUCUCACAAGUACAUUGGGCAUUGUCUAAGAAUAUGAGAAAUAAGAUCGAAAAAAACUGAAUGUGGUGUUUGCUUGGUUGCUUUAUUAGUUCUAUCAUCUUAAUCAGUGUGUUGGUGUACAUGAGCUUUAUAUUGAGACAUUUUGAGAACUUGCAAUGCUUUAAAGCCAAUAAUUGGCUAUUAUGAUUA
Long non-coding RNA from Brassica napus (rape), 1408 nucleotides. RefSeq lists it as uncharacterized. The transcript is spliced from 7 exons. The record is from RefSeq and is a predicted model, not a curated record. Lineage: Eukaryota; Viridiplantae; Streptophyta; Magnoliopsida; Brassicales; Brassicaceae.